CCUUGAGAGUCCUGAAGGAACGUUGAAGACUACGACGUUGAUAGGUCGGGUGUGUAAGCGCAGCGAUGCGUUGAGCUAACCGAUACUAAUGAACCGUGAGGCUUAACCUU
RNAcentral lists this ribosomal RNA (110 nucleotides) under Enterobacter cloacae. RNAcentral describes it as "partial 23S ribosomal RNA". It matches the Rfam family "Bacterial large subunit ribosomal RNA", at positions 2813 to 2925 of the family's 2925-position model. RNAcentral also lists the same sequence under 2 other names. Lineage: Bacteria; Pseudomonadati; Pseudomonadota; Gammaproteobacteria; Enterobacterales; Enterobacteriaceae. The record is from RNAcentral.